This 550-nucleotide ribosomal RNA is filed under the name uncultured Polaromonas sp. RNAcentral describes it as "bacterial SSU rRNA". It matches the Rfam family "Bacterial small subunit ribosomal RNA", at positions 90 to 632 of the family's 1533-position model. The record is from RNAcentral. Lineage: Bacteria; Pseudomonadati; Pseudomonadota; Betaproteobacteria; Burkholderiales; Comamonadaceae.
GGCGAGUGGCGAACGGGUGAGUAAUAUAUCGGAACGUGCCCAGUCGUGGGGGAUAACGUAGAGAAAUUUACGCUAAUACCGCAUACGAUCUAAGGAUGAAAGCGGGGGACUUCGCAAGGAGCCUCGCGCGAUUGGAGCGGCUGAUAUCAGAUUAGGUUGUUGGUGAGGUAAAAGCUCACCAAGCCGACGAUCUGUAGCUGGUUUGAGAGAACGACCAGCCACACUGGGACUGAGACACGGCCCAGACUCCUACGGGAGGCAGCAGUGGGGAAUUUUGGACAAUGGGCGAAAGCCUGAUCCAGCAAUGCCGCGUGCAGGAAGAAGGCCUUCGGGUUGUAAACUGCUUUUGUACGGAACGAAAAGGUCUGCCCUAAUACGGCGGGCCCAUGACGGUACCGUAAGAAUAAGCACCGGCUAACUACGUGCCAGCAGCCGCGGUAAUACGUAGGGACCAAGCGUUGUUCGGAUUUACUGGGCGUAAAGGGCGCGUAGGCGGCUUGACAAGUCACUUGUGAAAUCUCCGGGCUUAACUCGGAACGGCCAAGUGAAA